GGCGUUGUACCAAAGUGGUUACUGGGAUGGUCUCGAAUAGUGUCGCAAACCAUUGGGCUCUGCCCGCGCAGGUUCGAAUCCUGUCAACGUCG
RNAcentral lists this transfer RNA (92 nucleotides) under Tilletia horrida. RNAcentral describes it as "tRNA-Ser". It matches the Rfam family "tRNA". Rfam says of the family: Transfer RNA (tRNA) molecules are approximately 80 nucleotides in length. Their secondary structure includes four short double-helical elements and three loops (D, anti-codon, and T loops). Lineage: Eukaryota; Fungi; Basidiomycota; Exobasidiomycetes; Tilletiales; Tilletiaceae. The record is from RNAcentral.